CUUGGCAGCGUGGGGCGAACAGCUGCAGAAAGUCCCGGCGGCAAUAGGGGCGGCCUUCCCGCUCGUGGAACCCUGCGGGUCCGGGCAAGGAACCACAAAGGCCCUUGGCCUGGGUGGGGACUCCCUGUCGACUGAGGUCUGACUGCAGCAACCCCAGCAUGGUGUCCAGGCUGCCCUCAGCGGUGGACCCUGAGAUCUAUUAUUCACAAAGAAACAAGUGGAAAGAAGAGAGGCAACCUUGUGUGGUGGAUAGAUCACCAGACUUGGAGUUGAGAACAUACUCCUGGCCUCAGUUUCCAAUUGAUUGAUCUAUGCCCCAGCUCCUUCUUACAGAUAUCUUCAGAGGUACCUUUUAUCCUUCUUCUCAGCCCUCUCAUUAGGUAAUCUGCCAGACUCCCAUACUCUUCUGAUUAGCUGUUUCCCCUAACUAGGACCCCUGGAUUGGGAUACCUACCAAAGACUACAAUACGUGGUUCAAGAAGGGAUAAAGGGGAGGUGGAGUCACCUGGUAGGGUAAAGAGAGACAAUCACCAGGAGAGAAGUGUACCCCUGGUGGCCUGACUCCCCCUCCUAGUCUCUCUCCCCCACUCCUGCCUUUCUCCUAUGAUCUGGGUAUCUUGCCUUCCAGCUCGAAGCUUUCUUCUGCAGACCCACGCCCACGAAUCCUCCCUGCCACCAACCUAAGGCCACCCCCCUGUUCCCCUCUCAGAACCCAGCACCAGCGAAACCAAGAGGAGCAGGAGAAAGCCAGAGUGACAGGGGAGUCUAGAUUCUCAGAGAGACAAAAGCCCAUGGAAACCCUCCCAGGAGUACAGAAUUCAGACGCGCAGAAAUGGAAAUAAAAACUCAGAGGAAGACACAGAUCAAGACGGAUGGAAAUACUCAUGCACAAAGAGCUUCUUAAGUAAAGGGAUAGAGAUGAAGCACCCCAAAGCAGACACUCCUAGACUCCUGGGCCACAUACAGAAGACCCAACUCCCUCACUCAAGAGAGGGCUGCAGUCAAUGCUUGCAUUUUCUUGAAUUGUGCAAAGCCAUUA
Molecule: long non-coding RNA, 1039 nt
Organism: Vombatus ursinus (common wombat)
Lineage: Eukaryota; Metazoa; Chordata; Mammalia; Diprotodontia; Vombatidae
Exons: 5
Source: RefSeq, a predicted model, not a curated record